This 21-nucleotide non-coding RNA is filed under the name Arabidopsis thaliana (thale cress). Lineage: Eukaryota; Viridiplantae; Streptophyta; Magnoliopsida; Brassicales; Brassicaceae. The record is from RNAcentral.
GUGUAUAAGGUGCGAUGACGU